AGAGUUAUGGUUUGAAUCCUGUGGAAUUUUAUUUCAUUGUUCUUUCCACCAAGUAUUUUCCUAGUUUGCUUUGAUUUUCCAUAUCCAUUUUUUUCUUAGCCCUCACCAUGUGGCCUAGCAUUACAACCUGAUUAUAGACCUUUUGAUCUCUGAUUUUGGUGUUUGACUACAUUAGUGGAGAGGAUUUCUAAAAAUUGGACUUAUGGGGUUAAGUUUUGAGAGAAUUCUUUGAUUUUAGUUGUUCUACUUUUAUCUGAGUUUACAGGUGGUUUGGAGUUAAAUUGACUAUUCACAUAAACACACACUCAAGGUCUUAGCUUUAGGUUGAAGUAACCUCUUAACUCUUACUUGACAAAUUGCUAAACUUUGGAUUGAUUUUCCUGCUAUCUUUGAUGUUAAAAGAGUUUUAAUUUGGAAUGAAGAGGAAAAGCUGGCAUGCGUGGGAUUUUUGGGCUCUUGAACGGAUAUACACAAGGAAGUCGUAAGAGAGCUGGACUCUUGAUGAACAACAUGCACGAAACGGAGGAAGGGGCAGGAAUUCUGG
Molecule: long non-coding RNA, 544 nt
Filed under: Actinidia chinensis (golden kiwifruit)
Lineage: Eukaryota; Viridiplantae; Streptophyta; Magnoliopsida; Ericales; Actinidiaceae
Description: long non-coding RNA (ACHI_LNC000252)
Source: RNAcentral